AGGGAUGGGAAAUGAGAAAUGUACUCAGUCACUAAAGAGUGGUUUCAGAGGCUUUAUAGGUACGCAGUGCUGAAGAGACGAAUAGCACACUUUACUCAAGUCAGGUUUUCUCUGGUUAAUUACAGUAGAACGCUAUGGUGUCAGGAGCCACCGAGGCAGUCGUGGAUGACUGACCCCACUUAAUCCAAACCACAGGACUGACAAAUGAUUAAUUCUGGUCGUCAGAUGAUUAGCCCUAUUCAUGGGGUCACAACCUUGCCUGCCACUAACUUGCACCUAAACUCCUCAGGAAAGGUAAGGAGACUUGAAGGAGCCAUUUUUUAAGGCCAAUUCAGUGCAACUGCAACAGACCCUGUAUUCUGUGCACGCCUUCUCCGAGGAGUCCGAUUUCCAGUUUUAGUUAAAUUAGUUUCAUAUCAGUCAAUACUUGUUUAAAAAUAUGUCAUAAGUCUCUGUGGCUUGUGCAUGCUUCAAUUACUUCUGAUUAUUACAUCAAGAUUCGCAAACAAGAUACCAGAGUCACUCUUAUUUACUGCAAAAUGCUAUUGAAACAAACUGAAAUUCAAUUUCAGAACAGAUUGCAGUAACCCAUCAAAACAGAGCAAGUGGAGAGGAAGUUGGGCCUGGAGGUGUGCUGGGCCAUUGUUAAAUGCAGGACAGCAUCUCACCUAAUAAUUUAAACAUGGUCUUGUGGCCUGACAUUUUUAAUGCUUUCUUGAUCUCUUUCUUCUGGCUCUUGUGUGUUCUUUGCCACUGUGGGGUGCAGUGAGUUGCAGGUUAUGGAUUAAAUAUCAAGCCCUCCUCUGCCAAUAGCACUUUUAGGAGGGGAAAAAUGAUUGGGUACUUUUAUAAAUAGUCACGCCAUAGGUGUCCACAGAAAGCAGUGUUUAUGCAGGGCUUUUAAAAGCUGCCUGCCUUUUAGACACAAACCAAUCCAUAAAAAUGCCAAGUUCAAAUUUUCAGCCAUUAUCUGGGCAAUACAUCUCAGGCACCUUGGUAGGCUGAUUGGACAUUUUUGUCAGUGCACAUUAAGAUCCCAGCCUUAACUAAUGCAAUCUGGUUCUAAAAAUUAAUUUAACUUACACAAAUGCCCUGAUAGGCAGCCCAUGGUUCUCAUUUAUUUAGCAAUUCAUUGCAUUUGGAAUAAACUAGAGGGUUAAGAAUUCUACGCUUGAGGCAGCUCUGACUCUGAAGAACAGAAACAUACACAGAUUUCUCCCAUCAUUUGUUGCUUCAGGGCAAGAGAAAAGAAAGCCACUGUAAUUUGGAGACAAGACUUUUCCAGACAACUAUGAACAACAGCAACCAUAGCGCGCCACUAAACAGAGCUGUGUUGUGGAGACGUGGAGAGCAGUAAGACAUCUGUGGGGUACAUAGAGUAGAUGCAAAUAGAAUCUUCAAAAGAGUGUCGGCAUGAAUUCUAGAGAAAACUGAGUGCUUACAAACUCACUUAUAAUAAACAUUUAAAACAUGGGUCAAAAAGUGUUUCCUGGAAUUAGAGAGUCAAUUAAAUGGGGACAAAAUUUAGAAGAUACGUAUAUAUCUAUAUAUCUUGUCUCCCUCUGUCUCUCUCUCUCUCUCCCUCUCUCUCUCUCUACACACACACACACACACACACACACACACACACACAUAUCUAUCUUAUAUAUAUAGUCACAUAUCUGCCAUAUAUAGUCAUAUAUAUAUUGCCAUAUAUUACAUAAAGAGAGAGAGCGAGGGAGGGAGAGAGGUUUUUAUAUAUCUAUUUUCAAGUUGAAAUGUCCUUGAAAAUUGUCUGUUUGAGCUACUUAUUUUUAAAUAUGGAAACUGAGACAGAGAAGUGGAGUAGCCAAGAUCAGAGUGAGUUUUAACAUCCUGAUACCCUAGCUACUAUUUUUCCACAGACUUCCUAAACAUGUUUUUCACUUGCAUGGUUUAAGAACAUGAACUUUCUCUACAAAUUUACUUUUGCCCUGAUUUUUCUUGAAUAACAGGAUUCUACAGUUGUUGGCUCCCUUGUUUCUCUAGCAUAUAUGUGAACAGCAAGCAAAGUGAUUUUUAAAAUCCCCACUUGAAAAAAUAAAUGUUUUCAAGCAUUCUGAUGGGCUCAGUUAAUGUUUAGCUACAAAUAUGGGAGGAGAGGAAAUUAAGUUUUCUAUGCAUGUACCAUUGUGCUGACUUUGACCCUGAACCUUAAUGGGCAGAGAAAGGCAUCUGAGCAUUUUCAUGGGAAUCAACAAUGAAGGGCUUGAGUUCAUUUGUACAACCUAAUCCAGUUCAGGCAGAUGAGCAGAUUUGUGUCUGUCCUACGUUUAAAACCCAUUGAAGAAAGAAAUUCCACAGCUUCCCUAGUAACUUAUUCCUGCAUUCUGUAACCUCUACUUUGAAGAAAAUUUUUGAAGACAGUUCCAACCUGUUUCGUUUCAGUUUCAGAACAUUUCUUCUUCUUUCCAAUUUAUUUAAAUGUACGCAUGCACAUAUACUUAAAUAACAAUCUAUUUUUAUUCCAGAAUACUUAGAUUCUCUAUUUCUUUUGAGAUGAGAUAAGAGACAUUUAUGAAAUAUAGACUUUAAUAUAGUAAUCUGGGAAGGAACUUUUCCAGGCUUUUCCUUCCCUGGAAUGUUUUUGGCCCAGCCAAUUUUGAUUCUAACAUCUUUAGUAGAUACCUUGGCUUCCAGUGUGGAAGAAAACAGAAAGAGCGUUGCAUCCUUAGAAUUUUACAACCUGUUUGGACUAUUACAUCUUUAUAACAGCGAUGGUGUACUUAAUCACACACAAUUUGUUUCAUCGUGCUAGAAACAAAGAAAGCUAUCAAGAACAAGAAUUACAGAAGGGAAUUGGCAGGCAUCUUCUCUGACCCCUAAAUGUUACAGAUAAGGAAACAGAGCCCCUAGUAAGUGAUGUGACUGCUACAGGUCAUAUGACCAGGAGACUGCAGCAGAGUCAAUAGUGGACUCUGGAUUCUCUCUCCCCAUUCCAGCGCUUCUAUUAAAACACACUCACUCAGCAUUCAGCAAGAGGGAGAAGACAGAAAACAUAUUUGUUAUCUUUGAAGGAGGAAUGCUUGGCAUCUGCUAACAGCACACACACACACACACACACACACACACACACAUGCACACACAUGCUUAAAAGCCACAAACAUCCCUUAAAACAUAGCUGAUAUGUAUAAUAGGUAUGUGGCAUUAUCACCAUACUGAGGAUUUAUCAAUUUUUGCAUUACCAUGUGAAUGAAUGAAUUUCACUCCCCCAUACCCAAUGUGUAGUCCUCCAUCACAGUUGUAGUGUGGAUAAUGUUCCUUCUUCAGACAACUCAAAGAGGUCACUAAUACCAGCUAAAUAUAUUCUUUACUUCAUGUUACCUUGAACAAUAACAUGUGUGAGCAAAUUCAACAAAGUAGAACUUUAUAUAAAAUCAGAGUGGGGUUUACAACCUCAAGUUAAAAUUGACGUUAUUUCUUGCAAUAAAAUCACUUACUGAUUUUUAUGUAUAUGUGACGUUUUAUGUAGUGGUGAGGUCCCUACAUUUCUCAAAAGCUUUGGGUUAAGCUCUUAGAAUGUGAGAAUCGUAAUGAAGUCUAAAGUGACAUCUAACUUCCUGCUAACAUAUGUAAGUCCUUAUUCUGGGUGUGAUCUUUUUCACAAAAUAAUGUUUCAGCAAAACUCAUUUCUAGCAACUUCUCAGAGAUAGAAAGGGCCAGAAGGAUAAGCACUGGAAAGUUAAU
Leopardus geoffroyi (Geoffroy's cat) is the source of this 3705-nucleotide long non-coding RNA. RefSeq lists it as uncharacterized. NCBI's taxonomy places the organism in Eukaryota, Metazoa, Chordata, Mammalia, Carnivora, Felidae. The transcript has 3 exons. The record is from RefSeq and is a predicted model, not a curated record.